This 253-nucleotide ribosomal RNA is filed under the name uncultured bacterium. Its description in RNAcentral is "partial 16S ribosomal RNA". It matches the Rfam family "Bacterial small subunit ribosomal RNA", at positions 524 to 776 of the family's 1533-position model. The record is from RNAcentral.
UACGUAGGGACCAAGCGUUGUCCGGAAUCAUUGGGCGUAAAGAGCGUGUAGGCGACUUGUUAAGUCUUGCGUGAAAUCUCGGGGCUCAACCCCGAGCGGUCGUGAGAAACUGGCAGGCUAGAGUGCGGGAGAGGAGAGUGGAAUUCCUGGUGUAGCGGUGAAAUGCGCAGAUAUCAGGAAGAACACCCGUGGCGAAGGCGGCUCUCUGGAACGCAACUGACGCUGAGAUGCGAAAGCGUGGGGAGCAAACAGG